This 485-nucleotide ribosomal RNA is filed under the name uncultured soil bacterium. Its description in RNAcentral is "bacterial SSU rRNA". It matches the Rfam family "Bacterial small subunit ribosomal RNA", at positions 26 to 521 of the family's 1533-position model. The record is from RNAcentral.
AGGAUGAACGCUGGCGGCGUGCUUAACACAUGCAAGUCGAACGAUGAAGCCGGGAGCUUGCUCCUGGUGGAUUAGUGGCGAACGGGUGAGUAACACGUGAGUAACCUGCCCCAGACUCUGGGAUAAGCACUGGAAACGGUGUCUAAUACCGGAUACGAGCUUCAGCCGCAUGGCUAGGAGCUGGAAAGAAUUUCGGUCUGGGGAUGGACUCGCGGCCUAUCAGGUAGUUGGUGAGGUAACGGCUCACCAAGCCGACGACGGGUAGCCGGCCUGAGAGGGUGACCGGCCACACUGGGACUGAGACACGGCCCAGACUCCUACGGGAGGCAGCAGUGGGGAAUAUUGCACAAUGGGCGGAAGCCUGAUGCAGCAACGCCGCGUGCGGGAUGACGGCCGUUCGGUGUAAACCGCUUCGCCUGUGACGAAGCGUGAGUAGACGGUAAUGGUAAAGAAGACGACGCUAACGUCGUGCCAGCAGCGACGUA